GGAAUGGUGGAGAUUCGCCCCAUGCCUGGGGGGGCAGGAGUGUGCAGGAUCUCGUUGGUUGGCACGCAGGAUGGUGUGCGGCAGGCGUGCAUUGGUGUCACCUGCGGGCGAUUGGGGGAGCGGCUUGGGCAGCAUCUCCAUGAUGUUGCAUCUGGGGGGGCAUCUGCUGCACUCGGCGGCGUGGCGCUUCAGAGGGGCAUUGACGUCCUGUGGAGCCGGGCCGCUAUUUUGGAGAGUAGCAUCGGGAGGGACUAUAUUUGCAGGGAGUGGCGCAUCUUUGGGGAGGGCUUUGAGGCGGACAUUGUUGAUAUUGAAGACGCGGACGGUCUACCAGCGGCUUGGGAGUUCCUCAUCAAAU
This 358-nucleotide long non-coding RNA is filed under the name Androctonus crassicauda. The record is from RNAcentral. Lineage: Eukaryota; Metazoa; Arthropoda; Arachnida; Scorpiones; Buthidae.